RNAcentral lists this unclassified non-coding RNA (1601 nucleotides) under Athalia rosae (coleseed sawfly). Its description in RNAcentral is "misc RNA ENSAEAG00005010033.1". The record is from RNAcentral. Lineage: Eukaryota; Metazoa; Arthropoda; Insecta; Hymenoptera; Athaliidae.
AUAAUCACUUUGACAUCGCAGAUUUUCCAAAAAGUUUGUAGAAGAAAAAUUCACGUUUGGCACCAGAUUAGAUUCUGGCAAGAACUCGCUGCGAAUAAGUUAGAUCACAUUUGGAAAAUGGCACCAACGUGGAAAAAAUUGACAACAGCUAUAGCUGCUAGAGUAUCACUUAAAACCAAUGCUAAAACGAGCUAAAACUCGUCAAUCAAUGUUUUUGCAGAGUUAGUGUGAAAUGACACGUUGAAAGAGCGCCGAAAUCACCAAUCCACCAUCUGCACAGUUGCUCACAUUCGGACGAAAUGUGGAUUUUCAGCUGUGUUUACGUAGCUAUAAUCACAGCGAACCCAUUCAGAAACAGCAAAUACUACAAGUCACUAUUUGCGAUCACUAUUGCACUCUGUUUCAUACUGCCUGGAAAAUCCUCUCAGAAUACGCCAUUGCCAUCGAUUGUAGGACCCGCGAACACCCGGGAACUUCGCCAACUCUCCAGACCUUCACUAUGCUUGCCACCCCUCUUGACCACUGUCUCCUUUUUUCACGCUCCAUUCUCGCCCUUCCUACGUCGGCGCAUCUUUCCGUAUGAUCUUGCAUCCAAUUAUUAGGAUCGAUAAUUCGACGGAGAGGAUCGUUUUUUUUAAUGUUUCACCCCGUGCAAAAUGUGUACCAUGUAGGUUCCACAUGUUAAUAAUGAUGAGCAAUUAUACCACUGCGAUUUGUCAUCUGUCUUGAUAUUUUUAUUACUUCAAUACGUAAAUAUUAAACCAUGUAAGUAUGUAAAUUUUUACAGAAUCAAAAUUAUAACAUUUAUAGUUUACGAUCCUCUCAAACAGAAUGAUCUUAUAAUAUAGUAUUCAUUUUACAGACGAGAUGUACAAUCUAGGUCCUACUGCUUAUUGAUAGUAAUUCAUAAAUUUUGCAGAUUUUUAUCCAUACCCUAUCUCAAUGAUUUUAUUGAUAUAGUAUACACAUACUAAAAUAAUGGAUUGAACAGCGUUUGGGAAUGAGAUAAGACUAAAACGGCACAUGUUUUAAGAAGAGUUUAUGAAGAACAUCCGUGUGAAACAGAAUUGUUCGCUUUGUGUCAAAUAUACUAGAAAAAUCAGCAUCUAAAAUUUAUUGCAACAAGUUUUAUUACCUUCUUUUUUAUUUAUCAUGAGUUCCAGUAUGUCUUUCACUCCUUAUUAUGCAAAAUGCGAAGAAAGAAUGCAAAAGUUCACGAUCCCACAUUCAAAUUAUAUUAUAUGUAUGUAAACUAGGGAUGUAAAAAAAAAAGAAAAAAAACUAGCGAACCCCUGAAGCUAGCCUGUAAGACAUAGGAACAUGCCAUUUUUUCAGUGUGUAACACUUUAAAAUCUAAUUCAAAUUACUCGUUCAUUACAUGCUUAUACCUAGCUGCCUAAUUAUCUUACGAUUAGUCAUAUUUACAAUAGCCUAUAUGCAAUGAGGUACAGAUGUUCUCUGACCAAAGUCUCUGUUAUGAUACAGCCUACACAUACCAAUAGAUAUACUUGAGAUUUCUGAUAAGUCUGAUUACAAAAUCAAUUCUUAAAAUGUAACUUAAAUCUAUAUACCUAUGUGUAGUUGCCAUAAAUGUACCAUCG